This 405-nucleotide ribosomal RNA is filed under the name uncultured bacterium. Its description in RNAcentral is "partial 16S ribosomal RNA". It matches the Rfam family "Bacterial small subunit ribosomal RNA", at positions 30 to 526 of the family's 1533-position model. The record is from RNAcentral.
AUUGAACGCUAGCGGGAUGCUUUACACAUGCAAGUCGAACGAGUGGCGGACGUGUGAGUAAUAUAUCGGAACGGGCCCAGUAGCUGGGGAUAACUAUUCGAAAGAGUGGCUAUUACCGCAUACUAAUGGUGCGGCCGAUAUCGGAUUAGCUAGUUGGUGGGGUAAAGGCUCACCAAGGCAACGAUCCGUAGCUGGUUUGAGAGGACGACCAGCCACACUGUGACUGAGACACGGCCCAGAGUCCUACGGGAUGCAGCAGUGGUGAAUUUUGGGCAAUUGGGGAAACCCUGAUCCAGCCAUCCCGCGUGUAUGAGAAGGCCUUCGGGUUGUAAAGUACUUUUGGCGGAGAAGCGGUAUCUGCAGAAUAAGCACCGGCUAACUACGUGCCAGCAGCCGCGGUAAUUC